GUGCAUGAAAAUGAAAAGAGAAUUUUAAUGAUGCGUUCAUUGAAACGUUUUACUAGAGAUUUGAGGUUAUGAUGUAAGAAGAGAGUCAAGAUUUGAGUAUGAUGAGCAUUAUAAUGUGCCUGAAUGUUUGUGAGUGUUAUAUGUGUUUAAAAUGAGCUUUGAUGAGUUUCCUUGAAGGAAUGUUGAGUUGAGUAUUUUAAGAGUUUGAGAUGAGAUUUUGGUGAAUUUCGUAGGCCUACUGACCUACUGUGAUCGACGGUUUUCAAUGUCAAAAAAAAACUUUGAAAAUUUUAUACCAAGUCUCUACAUGAGUCUUGAGAACAUCGGUAAAAUUUCAAGUCAUUUGGACUUCGUUUACUAUUUUUAUAAAAUACAAAACCGAAACUGCACAUUACUACCGAGAGUUUCAGAGAGCAGGGGAAAGAGUCAUUCAUUUCAGUAGCUUCCUGUGUGAUCUAGCUUUCCAAAAUUUUAUGGUAUUAACCUUAUUGUGUUAUCUAGAUAUCCACAAAAUUUGAGCCCAG
Molecule: long non-coding RNA, 524 nt
Filed under: Salvia miltiorrhiza (redroot sage)
Lineage: Eukaryota; Viridiplantae; Streptophyta; Magnoliopsida; Lamiales; Lamiaceae
Description: long non-coding RNA (SMIL_LNC001483)
Source: RNAcentral